AGACGGAGGGUGCAAGCGUUGUUCGGAUUUACUGGGCGUAAAGGGCGUGUAGGCGGAUCGACAAGCCGGUGGUGAAAGGCCAGGGCUUAACCCUGGAUGGUCUUCCGGAACUGUCGGUCUAGAGAGAGUCAGAGGCAGGUGGAAUUCCCGGUGUAGAGGUGAAAUUCGUAGAGAUCGGGAGGAACACCCGUGGCGAAGGCGGCCUGCUGGGACUCUUCUGACGCUGAGGCGCGAAAGCGUGGGUAGCAAACAGGAUUAGAAACCCCAGUAGUCC
RNAcentral lists this ribosomal RNA (274 nucleotides) under uncultured bacterium. RNAcentral describes it as "partial 16S ribosomal RNA". It matches the Rfam family "Bacterial small subunit ribosomal RNA", at positions 523 to 796 of the family's 1533-position model. The record is from RNAcentral.